Molecule: ribosomal RNA, 253 nt
Filed under: uncultured bacterium
Lineage: Bacteria
Description: partial 16S ribosomal RNA
Rfam family: Bacterial small subunit ribosomal RNA
Source: RNAcentral
UACGUAGGGUGCGAGCGUUGUCCGGAAUUAUUGGGCGUAAAGAGCUCGUAGGCGGCUUGUCGCGUCGUCCGUGAAAACUUGGGGCUCAACCCCAAGCUUGCGGUCGAUACGGGCAGGCUAGAGUUCGGUAGGGGAGACUGGAAUUCCUGGUGUAGCGGUGAAAUGCGCAGAUAUCAGGAAGAACACCCGUGGCUAAGGCGGCUCUCUAGUACGGUACUGACGCUGAGACGCGAAAGCGUGGGGAGCGAACAGG